GAAUAAGCUUUGAAGGAAACCAGUAGCGAACAUUUCCCUGUUUAAGAGAGCCGGUGGUUGGUGUGAACCGGUACAAAGAUGAAGCGAAUUUCGAUUCCGGAGCUUCUUUUGACGAGAUCAAAAGACGGGUAAGACCGUUAUGUGUGAAGAGUGAUGAGAAAGAUUUUCUCAUAACUAGGGUGGUACCGCGAUAUCCAAAUCGUCCCUACG
This 210-nucleotide non-coding RNA is filed under the name Rossellomorea vietnamensis. RNAcentral describes it as "Bacillus vietnamensis T-box sequence". It matches the Rfam family "T-box leader". From Rfam's summary of the family: Uncharged tRNA acts as the effector for transcription antitermination of genes in the T-box leader family. T-boxes are found upstream of many aminoacyl-tRNA synthetase genes and some amino acid biosynthetic genes usually in Gram-positive bacteria. Lineage: Bacteria; Bacillati; Bacillota; Bacilli; Caryophanales; Bacillaceae. The record is from RNAcentral.